Non-coding RNA from Lepisosteus oculatus (spotted gar), 277 nucleotides. Lineage: Eukaryota; Metazoa; Chordata; Actinopteri; Semionotiformes; Lepisosteidae. The record is from RefSeq and is a predicted model, not a curated record.
CAGCAAACACACAUCGACACUCUGUCUUAAAGAGCCUGGCCUUGUUAAAAAGGCUGAUAUUUACACAAGCCAAGUGGGGCGGGGGGUGUUUGUGUGGAAACCUUGCACUGUGGGAAUGGAAGACAAAAGCAGAAGUCUUUCCCCUCAAUGACUCCCGAGACGAGACGCUGGAUAUGUUAUCAGCGCGGGCAGGACGCCAUCCGGGCUGAUCGACGAUCCGGCCUCCCGAUGGCUGGAUGUAAGCAGAUGAGAGACUGAUAACGUGUGAAACAUACGG